UGCGUAGGCGGAAUAUUAAGUCAGUGGUGAAAUCCUGCAGCUUAACUGUAGAACCGCCAUUGAUACUGGUAUUCUUGAAUUUAGUUAAGGUGGGCGGAACGUGUAAUGUAGCGGUGAAAUGCUUAGAUAUUACACAGAACACCGAUUGCGAAGGCAGCUCACUAAACUAACAUUGACGCUGAGGCACGAAAGCGUGGGUAGCGAACAGGAUUAGAUACCCUGGUAGUCC
This 229-nucleotide ribosomal RNA is filed under the name uncultured bacterium. RNAcentral describes it as "partial 16S ribosomal RNA". It matches the Rfam family "Bacterial small subunit ribosomal RNA", at positions 568 to 796 of the family's 1533-position model. The record is from RNAcentral.